Peromyscus maniculatus bairdii (prairie deer mouse) is the source of this 693-nucleotide non-coding RNA. NCBI's taxonomy places the organism in Eukaryota, Metazoa, Chordata, Mammalia, Rodentia, Cricetidae. The record is from RefSeq and is a predicted model, not a curated record.
GGCAGAGGCUCUGGAAGUGCGGCUGUUUGGUGGGCUCCUCGUUUUCAUACCUGCCUCAUGCAUCCCUUGAACAUGAGCAAAGUCUUCUUGAAAUUCCAGUCUGCCUCAAGUGUGCCAAGUGUCAUUUGCUCCCCAGUUUGUUUGACCGGAGCCGUGCUUGUUUCUCAUCUUCCGGUUCUGCGGGGCCGUGGAUCUUCAGAGGAAGGAAGGAAGGAAUGCGCACUCCUGGUUUUCCCUUCAGUGUGGAAAGAAACUUCAUGGAUAUUUCGUCUACCGAAUCUCCCUGUCAAAGCCUCCGAGAACCUGCAUUUUCGCUCCUGGAAACCACUACUGCCUUCUCUCUGCCUAGGACUGCGUCAGACACCCCAGGGAAGUGGACUCCCACAGUGCUCCUUCUCUCAUAACUGCUUUUCUCUGAGCAUGCUGCCUUCAAAGUUCAUCCACGGAACAUGGAUCAGAAUUUCAUGCCUUUUUGCAGGCUGAAUAAUACUCCAUUGACUGUGUUUCUAGAUAUUGUUUGUCUACUCAGUUACUGCUGAGCCUCUUUGGAGGUUUUCAUUUUUGGUCAUUGUUAAUUAGACUGCUGAAGAGCCAGGUGUGGAAGCACGCAAGUGUAAUCCCAGCACUCAGAGUCUGAGGCAGGAAGGUCGUGAGUUCAAGGCCAGAGUGUGCUAUGUAGCUAGACUCCGUGUC